CCUACGGGUGGCAGCAGUGGGGAAUAUUGGACAAUGGGCGAAAGCCUGAUCCAGCCAUGCCGCGUGUGUGAAGAAGGCCUUCGGGUUGUAAAGCACUUUCAGUGGGGAAGAAAGCCUUUGGGCUAAUACCCUCGAGGAAGGACAUCACCCACAGAAGAAGCACCGGCUAACUCCGUGCCAGCAGCCGCGGUAAUACGGAGGGUGCGAGCGUUAAUCGGAAUUACUGGGCGUAAAGCGCGCGUAGGCGGUCUGAUAAGCCGGUUGUGAAAGCCCCGGGCUCAACCUGGGAACGGCAUCCGGAACGGUCAGGCUGGGGUGCAGGAGAGGAAGGUAGAAUUCCCGGUGUAGCGGGGAAAUGCGUAGAGAUCGGGAGGAAUACCAGUGGCGAAGGCGGCCUUCUGGACUGACCCUGACGCUGAGGUGCGAAAGCGUGGGUAGCAAACAGGAUUAGAUACCCCAGUAGUC
Molecule: ribosomal RNA, 465 nt
Filed under: Vreelandella stevensii
Lineage: Bacteria; Pseudomonadati; Pseudomonadota; Gammaproteobacteria; Oceanospirillales; Halomonadaceae
Description: partial 16S ribosomal RNA
Rfam family: Bacterial small subunit ribosomal RNA
Source: RNAcentral